UACCAGAGAGAAUAACUGUCGAACUAGGCUGUCUUCUUAAAUUAAGAAGUGACUUAUGCUAAUCUUUUUUCCGGUACACGUCAUGGUUUCAUACGCACUUAAGACGAUGAUGGGAGAACAGAAUUAUUUCUCUGAACAGAUAUAAAACGUCUAUCAGGAGCUGUUUUCCUUGUUCUCUGUGCACGAAUUGUAGGUGUUCGAAUAUUACUACCCCAAGAAAGACAAGAAUGUUCUUCAGUCUCUUUAUUGGGUCAUUGCUGUGGAAGACCAUUCCGUGCGAGUACAGAGAGUAUGACUGCACGCUUCCAGAUGGCACUCUUCUAAGCAACGGAACAGUGAAGAACUCCAGUGAUCCCUGUGUGGAGUACACAUGUCAAUAUGGAAGCUACUGGACAGAAGGAUGCCCAGUCAACAAUGAUCCUUUAUGUCGCAAGAAUCCCGGUGCACUUGGCCCGUAUCCUGACUGCUGCCCAGUUUAUGCUUGUUCAUGAAGCUAAGUUUACAGAAGAAUUCGAGGAUCUAUGACCACAGAGUGAAGAUUGGUUCAAAAUGAAUGAAGGAAACAUAGCAAAAUAAACACGU
Dermacentor silvarum is the source of this 582-nucleotide long non-coding RNA. RefSeq lists it as uncharacterized. The record is from RefSeq and is a predicted model, not a curated record. Lineage: Eukaryota; Metazoa; Arthropoda; Arachnida; Ixodida; Ixodidae. The transcript is spliced from 4 exons.